This 29-nucleotide non-coding RNA is filed under the name Homo sapiens (human). The record is from RNAcentral. Lineage: Eukaryota; Metazoa; Chordata; Mammalia; Primates; Hominidae.
GACUCAGGCUGGAUAAGGAAGUGUUGGGC